This 22-nucleotide non-coding RNA is filed under the name Arabidopsis thaliana (thale cress). Lineage: Eukaryota; Viridiplantae; Streptophyta; Magnoliopsida; Brassicales; Brassicaceae. The record is from RNAcentral.
UAAGUAACUGUAUUAGCAACUG